GCCCGCCUUCCUCGCUCCAGAACCAGAGUACAUCCCUCUCCUCUCACUCAUGUCAUUUCUGUUCAGCGAUGUUGCCUGCUCUUUUGCACACUCAGAUCAUUUUGUGUUUCACGUGUCUGCUUGGAGUAGGCUAGUAUAACAAAUGCAUCCAGCCUUUCUAGGACUUGUAUGGCUAUAGGGAGUUCUUAGUUGCAAGAUAUUGACAUCAUUUUUGUUAUUGGAAGAUAUUGAAGCGAUUAUGCUCAAAAUGACAAGGAUUUGGGGGGCAUUCAAUACUUAAGUCUGUCUUCCAAGUUAUCAUCACAAUUCCUGUUGGUUGUAUUGUAGAGAUAAUGACACACUUGAUACUUCGUUAAUUUGUGCUGUAUGGUCUCUAGUCUCUACACAUGUUCAUUAUCCUGUCCUGCUGUAUUUCACAUUCUGAAAGUUUCCCAGUUACAUUUUUUGAAUUAUUCUUGCACAACUUCCUAGUAUGCUUCGAAUGGAUAUUGAUCGCACCAUGUGACUGUCCUAGAACUGGUGUUAUUCAGUACACGCUACGUGAUACGUAAUUUUGGCACCAGGACCAACAUUAUGUUUACAUUGGUAACUACGUUGCUCAUGGAUUGUAAAAUUCAUUCUGACAUCGCAGUUUUGUACAUUGGGUUCACGUUUUAACUUUUAACUGCCCGCUCACUCUGAUUUCCUUGCUCAUUUUGAUUUGUUAUAAACUGCUUUUAUGUUAUCUUUAGAUUUCCAAAGUGCAGAUUUUUUUUAUGCUGGGAGUUGUAGUGAGCUUCUUUCACAGGCUUGGUGCAAGUUUCAUAUUGGGUCUUUUAGCUUCUGUUUAUGAAUUGUAUUCCUGGGAAAUCAGCAUCUUGAUGUGUUCUUUUUCUCUUACACAUUUGCCUUGUGGAACUGGGUUGGGAGAUGGUCCUCAUUAUUCGCAUUAAGUUCUUAACUGUGACCCUCGAUGUCACCUUUACUUUCUCUUAUCUUUACAAUUGAUAAGGACACAAUCUUGCUUGUAUUUUUGUAGUAUCUGAUCAUUUAGAAGAUCAAAGAAAUCCAGAUAGGAUAUUACUGGUGUCAAACAUGCAUAUGAUUAUAUAUGUGACGUUCACUGUGUGAUUAUUGGUUAAUUAGGUACCUCAUACUCCUCACUGCAUGAAAUCAAUUGAUGAUUUGGCUACUUCUUGUCUAGAGAUAGCACAUCUUGUUCAGUUUUCUUUUCAUAAUACGGUAAUUGUCAUUUUGUCUGAAUUGUUGUGAUCUUUUUGGCAACUCUUUAAGAGAAAAAUCUUUUACUGGUAUUCACUUCUAGGUUUGAAUUCUGAACAGUAAACAGCAUAGACAUGAGCUUUAAUAUUUUUCUUAUACUGCUUGCUAAUCCUGCACUUUCAUCAAGUUAUAUUGGUUUGUUUCAGUGCAAAUUUGGUAGCUGAUACUUUUUUCAUUUCUAUGAUUCAGGCCGUUGGUGACUUGUAAGGAAUUGGCGCAUCUUUGUUUGAAGUCAGCUCUUCAUUUCUGGGUCACUACUUUCAUGCUAACACCUCACGUUGAGCUCAUGGGGAACCUCUGAUUACCUUCACCUUCAUGCCACUAUUUAAGUAAUCUUUUGAUGCUAUGUUUAUCCAAACGUCAUUUGGACUUGAUGAUAUUCAGCAAGGUGUACUGUUAAAUUAUGCUUAUUUUGGACGCUUUGGUCGUAUUCCGUAAUAUUCAUCGAAUUUCGACUUCCGUAAUGUUCUGUCUUGCCUUGGUAUUGUGCAG
RNAcentral lists this long non-coding RNA (1752 nucleotides) under Triticum aestivum (bread wheat). RNAcentral describes it as "long non-coding RNA (TAES_LNC008771)". Lineage: Eukaryota; Viridiplantae; Streptophyta; Magnoliopsida; Poales; Poaceae. The record is from RNAcentral.